GACGAACGCUGGCGGCGUGCUUAACACAUGCAAGUCGAGCGAACAAAGCUCCUUCGGGAGUGGAGUUAGCGGCGGACGGGUGAGUAACACGUGGGUAACCUGCCUUAUAGAGGGGGAUAGCCUUCCGAAAGGAAGAUUAAUACCGCAUAAGAAGUAGAAGUCGCAUGGCUUUAGCUUUAAAGGAGCAAUCCGCUAUAAGAUGGACCCGCGGCGCAUUAGCUAGUUGGUGAGGUAACGGCUCACCAAGGCGACGAUGCGUAGCCGACCUGAGAGGGUGAUCGGCCACAUUGGAACUGAGACACGGUCCAGACUCCUACGGGAGGCAGCAGUGGGGAAUAUUGCACAAUGGGCGAAAGCCUGAUGCAGCAACGCCGCGUGGGUGAUGAAGGUUUCGGAUUGUAAACCUCUGUCCUUGGUGACGAACAAAUGACGUAGCCAUGGAGAAGCCACGGCUAACUACGUG
Molecule: ribosomal RNA, 463 nt
Filed under: uncultured bacterium
Lineage: Bacteria
Description: bacterial SSU rRNA
Rfam family: Bacterial small subunit ribosomal RNA
Source: RNAcentral